AUGCCUAGUACGGCGAGUGAGCGGCAACAGCUCAAAUUUGAAAGCUGGCUUAGGCCCGCAUUGUAAUUUGCAGAGGAUGCUUCUGGCGAGGUGCCUUCCGAGUUCCCUGGAACGGGACGCCAUAGAGGGUGAGAGCCCCGUAUGGAUGGACACCAGACCUGUGUGAAGCUCCUUCAACGAGUCGAGUAGUUUGGGAAUGCUGCUCUAAAUGGGAGGUAAAUCUCUUCUAAAGCUAAAUACCGGCCAGAGACCGAUAGCGCACAAGUAGAGUGAUCGAAAGAUGAAAAGCACCUUGAAAAGGGGGUUAAACAGUACGUGAAAUUGUUGAAAGGGAAGCGCUUGUGACCAGACUUGCGCCGGGCAGCUCAUCAGGGGUUCUCCCCUGUGCACUCUGCCCGGCUCAGGCCAGCAUCGGUUCUCGUGGGAGGAUAAGAACGGUAGGAACGUGGCCCCCCUCCGGGGGGGUGUUAUAGCCUGCCGUACGAUACUCCCGUGGGGACCGAGGUUCGCGCUCCGCAAGGAUGCUGGCGUAAUGGUCAUCAGCGACCCGUCUUAAAA
RNAcentral lists this ribosomal RNA (558 nucleotides) under Cytospora ribis. Its description in RNAcentral is "partial 28S ribosomal RNA". It matches the Rfam family "Eukaryotic large subunit ribosomal RNA", at positions 73 to 659 of the family's 3401-position model. Lineage: Eukaryota; Fungi; Ascomycota; Sordariomycetes; Diaporthales; Cytosporaceae. The record is from RNAcentral.